GACGAACGCUGGCGGCGUGCUUAACACAUGCAAGUCGAACGAUGAAGCCGGAGCUUGCUCUGGUGAAUUAGUGGCGAACGGGUGAGUAACACGUGAGUAACCUGCCCUUGACUCUGGGAUAACUGCGGGAAACUGUAGCUAAUACCGGAUACGACCCUCGGCGGCAUCGCCAGGGGGUGGAAAGAAUUUCGGUCAAGGAUGGACUCGCGGCCUAUCAGCUAGUUGGUGAGGUAACGGCUCACCAAGGCGACGACGGGUAGCCGGCCUGAGAGGGUGACCGGCCACACUGGAACUGAGACACGGCCCAGACUCCUACGGGAGGCAGCAGUGGGGAAUAUUGCACAAUGGGCGCAAGCCUGAUGCAGCAACGCCGCGUGAGGGAUGACGGCCUUCGGGUUGUAAACCUCUUUUAGUAGGGAAGAAGCGAAAGUGACGGUACCUGCAGAAAAAGCACCGGCUAACUACGUGCCAGCCGCCGCCGUAA
RNAcentral lists this ribosomal RNA (484 nucleotides) under uncultured bacterium. RNAcentral's name for it is "partial 16S ribosomal RNA". It matches the Rfam family "Bacterial small subunit ribosomal RNA", at positions 28 to 523 of the family's 1533-position model. The record is from RNAcentral.